GACGAACCGUCCAAACGUUAUUCGGUAUCACUGGGCUUAAAGAGUUCGUAGGCGGCCCUGCAGGUGAGGUGUGAAAUCCCUCGGCUUAACCGAGGAACUGCGCUUCAAACCGCAAGGCUAGAGGGAGACAGGGGUAAGCGGAACAGAUGGUGGAGCGGUGAAAUGCGUUGAUAUCAUCUGGAACACCAGUGGCGAAGGCGGCUUACUGGGUCUUUACUGACGCUGAGGAACGAAAGCUAGGGUAGCGAAC
RNAcentral lists this ribosomal RNA (250 nucleotides) under uncultured Pirellula sp. RNAcentral describes it as "partial 16S ribosomal RNA". It matches the Rfam family "Bacterial small subunit ribosomal RNA", at positions 524 to 773 of the family's 1533-position model. The record is from RNAcentral. Lineage: Bacteria; Pseudomonadati; Planctomycetota; Planctomycetia; Pirellulales; Pirellulaceae.